AGCACAAAAUAUGUAUCACAAGCACUAAGGGCUAUAGCUCAGUUGGUAGAGCAACUCGUUUACACGCCCUA
RNAcentral lists this transfer RNA (71 nucleotides) under Solanum crotonoides. Its description in RNAcentral is "tRNA-Val". The record is from RNAcentral. Lineage: Eukaryota; Viridiplantae; Streptophyta; Magnoliopsida; Solanales; Solanaceae.